CCCCAGCAACAGUCACUGGAGGCACUGUGCUGGGGGUGGAUAGGGCCAGUUAUUCUCCUGCUGCUAAAUAAAGAGAAUCACCACGUUAAAAGGUGCCUCUUUGCCAAGUUAGCAGGGAUACAGCUGGUCAAAGACUUUAUGAAAUCAAUAUGUAUUGAGCACUCUUUUAAAACCUGCUAGAGAUGGGGAAGCCCUUACAACAACAAGUUCGUUCCAGAGCCUCGGGGCAGCUUUAUAGAAAAGGCCCAUCCCUGAGUUGCCACCAGAGGAGCUGCAGGCAGCCGAAGGUGGAACUUUCCUGAAGAUCUUAAAUGGGCGGUGUCUUACUUCAUGGCAUGGAAAACCAGGGUUGCCAUUUUUCAGGAUACACCCAGACUCUGACCUAGAGGAGACCCCUCAGAGGAGGAGGAGCAUGCCCCAGUUUAUUAUCCUGCUUUGAAAUGGCUUUUCAUGAAGGAUGCUAUGAAGAAGAUGGGAGAAGAGAGGCUGGCUUCAUGAAAUUUCAGUACAUAAAAAUGUAUUUGGUGUUUCUGCUUCAUUAAAUUUUAACUUCAAGAAAUUAAGUCUAG
Hemicordylus capensis (graceful crag lizard) is the source of this 569-nucleotide long non-coding RNA. RefSeq lists it as uncharacterized. The transcript is spliced from 3 exons. NCBI's taxonomy places the organism in Eukaryota, Metazoa, Chordata, Lepidosauria, Squamata, Cordylidae. The record is from RefSeq and is a predicted model, not a curated record.